GUGCCAGGGACCAGCUGUCUUAGGCCUGUCCUGGAAUUGUCAGUUACACGAGCCAAAAAUAUCCCCUGGCAUGCUUGAGCAAGUUUGAGUUGUGUUUCUAGCCAACUAAGAAGAGUCCUUAAGCCAGCCUGGAUAAAAUCACUGUCAUUUGGAGGAAAGAGUCUUGGGGUGUUGAGAGAAUUACCCUUCAUGUUCCAAAGCGGCCUCCACAGCUUCCGUUCUUGCUCUGGGGCUGGUGCUCCUGCCCAGGCAGGGUUAGAGGGGGAUCCCAGAGAUCAGGGUGUCGGCCUUGCAGGAGUGCAUUCUGUUGAUGGUGAAGCCUCAAGCACAUCUGGAGCCUGAGCUGCAAGGGCGCCCGGGAGAUGCGGUUACCAGCCUCGACAGAGAAGGAUGGUGUCCCAGGAGCUAGAGUCGGUACCAGUGCCCUUCACAGGCCACCCUUUGCCGAUUUGACUCUGGAGAGCCCCUUCCAGCUGGCCCUGACGCCUUCUGACAGCUCAGCACCCCCUGUGCGAACACCACCUCACCCCUCUGAAAUUCCCACGGGCACGCGGUACUUCUCUGGUGCAGCAAAGGGUGGUUCCUGAAUGGUUACGGGUUUGAGACAAGAUAAGUACAGAAAUUGAGAAGAAGCAUUUAGAAACUUUUGUAGCAAUUUUCUGGGUAAUUUUAUGUCUGUUGAAUCUAAUAGAAAAAUUUGGACUUGUAUUUUGUGUCUUUUUUCCUUUUAUUUUUCCAGUCAUUCAUUUUUAUCGUAUUUUACAAAAGUACUGGUUUGUGACAAAUUGAAAAUAAAAAAAUGUAUCCU
Molecule: long non-coding RNA, 808 nt
Filed under: Papio anubis (olive baboon)
Lineage: Eukaryota; Metazoa; Chordata; Mammalia; Primates; Cercopithecidae
Description: lncRNA (ENSPANG00000037037.1)
Source: RNAcentral